Non-coding RNA from Ciona intestinalis (vase tunicate), 820 nucleotides. The record is from RefSeq and is a predicted model, not a curated record. Lineage: Eukaryota; Metazoa; Chordata; Ascidiacea; Phlebobranchia; Cionidae.
CCUUGUUUCUAAGGCAUGAAUCCCAUGUUCAAAAUGGCAAGUCAACGAACACGCACUCCACGAUCCCCAUUCCGAAUACUUAGGACUGCAUGCUUUCAACUUACAAACCUUCCUGCAUACACAAAGAAUCAAAUGAGCCUUCCGUUUGCAUUUAUACAAACUAUCUAUUUCUGCGAUGUCUGUUUCUGAGGGAUGUUCAUUCGAAGAAGCUAUACUAUAUCCAGUCUUUAAAACAACGAACGUUAGUUUCCCAACAAUUUGAAACGCACGACUGUGGUAAUGCAUGAGGGAUUUCACGUCAUAUUCGUAUCCAAAGUCAGCCACAGCUUCCGGCCUUGCUUUGUCAUAUUGCCGAUGAUAUUCUAAAAACAAUAAGAUCUUCAAGCAGGAUUGUAAAAGUUGUAAUUCCGGACAGUAAACGGUUAAUUUCAUUGAAAAUCCAGACACAUUAUGUUUUACAAUUGUCUGUCACCCAAGCUACCAAAUCCUGUUAUAAACCGUCUUACUGACUAAAGGCACAGUGUAGUGCAGCUCUGUGCAAUAGAAAAUGUUGUUAAAGCUGCGAUUUAAUGUUUUAUGUUCGUCGCGUGUUCGUAAUUAUCAGCUAACGAAAUCGUUCGAGUAACAAACAUUACCGUGCUGCAAAUGAGAUAUUUUGCACUUAAUUGUUACGUCACAUUGUAACAUAACUAUUAACUAUGGCGUUUCAUUAUCAGUAAUGUGCCCACUACCCAACGAACCAAGAGAUCAAAACAUCGUGUAUGAAAGUCACACUUUUACGCUCUGCGCCCGCAUAGGAAAUAAAGGAAGACGCAUGGGG